UACGUAGGGGGGCAAGCGUUGUUCGGAAUUACUGGGCGUAAAGGGCGCGUAGGCGGCACAGCAAGUCGGGAGUGAAAGCCCGGGGCUCAACCCCGGAAUGGCUUUCGAAACUGCUGAGCUAGAGUACAGAAGGGGCAACCGGAAUUCCCAGUGUAGCGGUGAAAUGCGUAGAUAUUGGGAAGAACACCUGAGGCGAAGGCGGGUUGCUGGGCUGAUACUGACGCUGAGGCGCGAAAGCCAGGGGAGCAAACGGG
RNAcentral lists this ribosomal RNA (254 nucleotides) under uncultured bacterium. Its description in RNAcentral is "partial 16S ribosomal RNA". It matches the Rfam family "Bacterial small subunit ribosomal RNA", at positions 524 to 776 of the family's 1533-position model. The record is from RNAcentral.